CUUGGUUAUUUCUGUGACUCUCAUUAUUGUUUGUUGUCGAACUCCAAGAGGAAUAUGUGAACAAUGCAAAGAUGCAGUUGCUUUGCAAACAAAUCUGACAGCAAAAGGAGAUCAGGAAAUUUUGCAGACAGAUGACGACUCAUUGGUUUAUUCUGUAGCAAUUUUCUCUUGUGGAAAAAUUAGAUACAGGAACAAAGACUAGAUACAGGACUACAGAACCUGCAGAAGAUGAGAAAUGAUUUGAAGGCUCUUGAGCUGGAUUGAUAUAUAGACAAAUAUAACUCUUGCCUUUUUCAGUUGGGUUAGAAAUGUACUUGUUC
Oreochromis niloticus (Nile tilapia) is the source of this 320-nucleotide long non-coding RNA. RefSeq lists it as uncharacterized. NCBI's taxonomy places the organism in Eukaryota, Metazoa, Chordata, Actinopteri, Cichliformes, Cichlidae. The record is from RefSeq and is a predicted model, not a curated record. The transcript is spliced from 3 exons.